UACGAAGGGGGCUAGCGUUGUUCGGAAUCACUGGGCGUAAAGGGCGCGUAGGCGGCUUUAUAAGUCGGGGGUGAAAGCCUGUGGCUCAACCACAGAAUUGCCUUCGAUACUGUAGAGCUUGAGACCGGAAGAGGUAAGUGGAACUGCGAGUGUAGAGGUGAAAUUCGUAGAUAUUCGCAAGAACACCAGUGGCGAAGGCGGCUUACUGGACGAUGACUGACGCUGAGACACGAAAGCGUGGGGAGCAAACAGG
RNAcentral lists this ribosomal RNA (253 nucleotides) under uncultured bacterium. RNAcentral's name for it is "partial 16S ribosomal RNA". It matches the Rfam family "Bacterial small subunit ribosomal RNA", at positions 524 to 776 of the family's 1533-position model. The record is from RNAcentral.